RNAcentral lists this ribosomal RNA (484 nucleotides) under uncultured bacterium. Its description in RNAcentral is "partial 16S ribosomal RNA". It matches the Rfam family "Bacterial small subunit ribosomal RNA", at positions 29 to 507 of the family's 1533-position model. The record is from RNAcentral.
AUUGAACGCUGGCGGCAUGCUUUACACAUGCAAGUCGAACGGCAGCGCGGGCUUCGGCCUGGCGGCGAGUGGCGAACGGGUGAGUAAUACAUCGGAACGUGCCCAGUAGUGGGGGAUAGCUCGGCGAAAGCCGGAUUAAUACCGCAUACGACCUGAGGGUGAAAGCGGGGGAUCUUCGGACCUCGCGCUAUUGGAGCGGCCGAUGGCAGAUUAGCUAGUUGGUGGGGUAAAGGCCUACCAAGGCGACGAUCUGUAGCUGGUCUGAGAGGACGACCAGCCACACUGGGACUGAGGCACGGCCCAGACUCCUACGGGAGGCAGCAGUGGGGAAUUUUGGACAAUGGGCGAAAGCCUGAUCCAGCAAUGCCGCGUGCGUGAUGAAGGCCUUCGGGUUGUAAAGCACUUUUGGCGGGAACGAAAAGGACUGUGCCAAUACCACGGUUCGAUGACGGUACCCGCAGAAUAAGCACCGGCUAACUACGUG